AAAAAUGUGUUCGAUUUUGGGGCAUUUGUUGGAGACUUGAUUGUUGAAUAAGAUGCCAGCAUUGAUGAUAUAUCGCUGGAGGGGCUUCAACGAGAAUUGGAAGAAUGCAAAGAUGAUGAUGUGGUUGCAAACAUAAUGUCUAAAGGUGUAAAACUAAGGGAGUAUACAAAGGGGU
Long non-coding RNA from Hibiscus syriacus, 175 nucleotides. RefSeq lists it as uncharacterized. The transcript has 3 exons. The record is from RefSeq and is a predicted model, not a curated record. NCBI's taxonomy places the organism in Eukaryota, Viridiplantae, Streptophyta, Magnoliopsida, Malvales, Malvaceae.